This 618-nucleotide long non-coding RNA is filed under the name Phoenix dactylifera (date palm). Its description in RNAcentral is "long non-coding RNA (PDAC_LNC015775)". Lineage: Eukaryota; Viridiplantae; Streptophyta; Magnoliopsida; Arecales; Arecaceae. The record is from RNAcentral.
UUCAGGCUGGACAUGCUUCAAGGUGUUUGAUAUACAGGACAUGUAACCGACCAACCUACUUGGACAUCAGGAUUUGAUAUAAUGGCAGACCACAACUUGACACCGUACUAAUUUGUGCAAAACUACUAGACCUUAACCUGGAAUAUUAGCUAGCCGGCAAGCACAUAUUCCCUGCAUAGGGACCCAACAAUAGAUACAGUCCAACACUCCAACAUAAUAAUUUGGUAAGAGAUACUUUUUAUGAAAUUGAGAUUGUUCCCCAUCCCUACAAACCAAGCAUAAGGUAAAGAGUAAAGACUAAAGACCAUAAAUAGUAUCCUAUAACAUAUUUCCACUACAAAUGUUUAUUAGCUGUGUACCUCGAAUGUGCGACAUUCCGCAAAUAAUAAACAAAGCACAAAAAUUGAGACUAGCCACAAUGCACCAUUAGCAGUAAUGAUGUGGUGUGAAAAAGCAAACCAUGAAACCCCCCGGGUUUCUCUGAGAAGAUAAAAAAUGAUAUCUAUGACCUCAGAUCUGUCAACAUGUCAACAUGUCCUCUCCCACAAAGCGGUGAAAAGGCUCUAUGACAUUCAAUAUGAUAUCUAUGACCAUAAGUAGCAGCAGUACAAUCCAGUC